AUGUACAUCCAGUUGAUCGGACUGGGUGGACUUCUCAAGACACUUAGCAUCAAAAUUAGACGUGUACUGUGCAUGGCCAUCGCUAAUUCAUAUGAUGCAGAGCAGGAUGCCUUUAUCAUCAAUGGAAGACCAUGUAGGAUCAAACUAGAAGAUGUAUCGCAUAUAACAGGCACGCCCUGCCAUGAGAAGAAGCACGUCCCUUCAGAUCUUGAUGAUAAUAUGGAGUUGUGGAAGAAACUAACGCUUGACUAUCUUAUGGAUAGCGUGAAGAAUUUUGUAAAUGGUGAGGCAAUUCUAGAGGGGAAUCUAUCACUGCCGCAGACAUGGUACUAUGAGAAGUUCAGAGUGCACCAAUUGGACUCUAGCAUCUCAUAUGAAUCAAGGUUAAGGCCGUUGAUCCAGAACUAG
Molecule: ribosomal RNA, 408 nt
Filed under: Triticum aestivum (bread wheat)
Lineage: Eukaryota; Viridiplantae; Streptophyta; Magnoliopsida; Poales; Poaceae
Description: partial small subunit ribosomal RNA
Source: RNAcentral